CCUACGGGUGGCAGCAGUGAGGAAUAUUGGUCAAUGUGCGGGAGCCUGAACCAGCCAAGCCGCGUGAGGGAAGAAGGUACAGCGUAUCGUAAACCUCUUUUGUCAGGGAACAAAGGCGGGGACUAGUCCCCGGAUGAGGGUACCUGAAGAAAAAGCAUCGGCUAACUCCGUGCCAGCAGCCGCGGUAAUACGGAGGAUGCGAGCGUAGUCCGGUUUUAUGGGGUUUAAAGGGUGCGCAGGCGGACUGUUCAUUCAGCGGUAAAAUCCCGGGGCUCAACCCCGGCUGGCCGGUGAAACUGGCGGGCAGGAGUUGGAGAGAAGUACGCGGAAGGCGCGGUGUAGCGGUGAAAUGCUGAGAUAUCGCGCAGAACCCCGAUUGCGAAGGAAGCGUACCGGCUCCACACUGACGCUGAGGCACGAAAGCGUGGGUAUCGAACAGGAUGAGAUACCCCGGGAGUC
This 459-nucleotide ribosomal RNA is filed under the name uncultured bacterium. RNAcentral's name for it is "partial 16S ribosomal RNA". It matches the Rfam family "Bacterial small subunit ribosomal RNA", at positions 338 to 795 of the family's 1533-position model. The record is from RNAcentral.